Molecule: ribosomal RNA, 296 nt
Filed under: uncultured Legionella sp.
Lineage: Bacteria; Pseudomonadati; Pseudomonadota; Gammaproteobacteria; Legionellales; Legionellaceae
Description: partial 16S ribosomal RNA
Rfam family: Bacterial small subunit ribosomal RNA
Source: RNAcentral
CACCGGCUAACUCCGUGCCAGCAGCCGCGGUAAUACGGAGGGUGCGAGCGUUAAUCGGAAUUACUGGGCGUAAAGGGUGCGUAGGUGGUUGAUUAAGUUAUCUGUGAAAUUCCUGGGCUUACCCUGGGACGGUCAGAUAAUACUGGUUGACUUGAGUAUGGGAGAGGGUAGUGGAAUUUCCGGUGUAGCGGUGAAAUGCGUAGAGAUCGGAAGGAACACCAGUGGCGAAGGCGGCUACCUGGCCUAAUACUGACACUGAGGCACGAAAGCGUGGGGAGCAAACAGGAUUAUAUGCC